AGUGAACGCUGGCGGUAGGCCUAACACAUGCAAGUCGAACGGCAGCACAGUAAGAGCUUGCUCUUACGGGUGGCGAGUGGCGGACGGGUGAGGAAUACAUCGGAUUCUACUUUUUCUUGGGGGAUAACGUAGGGAAACUUACGCUAAUACCGCAUACGACCUACGGGUGAAAUCAGGGGUUCUUCGGACCUUGCCUGUUUGAUUGAGCCGAUGUCGGAUUAGCUAGUUGGCGGGGUAAAGGCCCACCAAGGCGACGAUCCGUAGCUGGUCUGAGAGGAUGAUCAGCCACACUGGAACUGAGACACGGUCCAGACUCCUACGGGAGGCAGCAGUGGGGAAUAUUGGACAAUGGGCGCAAGCCUGAUCCAGCAAUACCGCGUGGGUGAAGAAGGCCUUCGGGUUGUAAAGCCCUUUUGUUGGGAAAGAAAAGCAGCAGGUUAAUACCCCGCUGUUCUGACGGUACCCAAAGAAUAAGCACCGGCUAACUUCGUG
RNAcentral lists this ribosomal RNA (492 nucleotides) under uncultured bacterium. Its description in RNAcentral is "partial 16S ribosomal RNA". It matches the Rfam family "Bacterial small subunit ribosomal RNA", at positions 29 to 507 of the family's 1533-position model. The record is from RNAcentral.